GGCUCCGUGGUCAAGCGGUUAAGACACCGCCCUUUCACGGCGGUAACACGGGUUCGAGUCCCGUUGGAGUCA
Molecule: transfer RNA, 72 nt
Filed under: Staphylococcus auricularis
Lineage: Bacteria; Bacillati; Bacillota; Bacilli; Caryophanales; Staphylococcaceae
Description: tRNA-Glu
Rfam family: tRNA
About the family: Transfer RNA (tRNA) molecules are approximately 80 nucleotides in length. Their secondary structure includes four short double-helical elements and three loops (D, anti-codon, and T loops). Further hydrogen bonds mediate the characteristic L-shaped molecular structure. tRNAs have two regions of fundamental functional importance: the anti-codon, which is responsible for specific mRNA codon recognition, and the 3' end, to which the tRNAs corresponding amino acid is attached (by aminoacyl-tRNA synthetases). tRNAs cope with the degeneracy of the genetic code in two manners: having more than one tRNA (with a specific anti-codon) for a particular amino acid; and 'wobble' base-pairing, i.e. permitting non-standard base-pairing at the 3rd anti-codon position.
Source: RNAcentral